This 873-nucleotide ribosomal RNA is filed under the name uncultured Staphylococcus sp. Its description in RNAcentral is "bacterial SSU rRNA". It matches the Rfam family "Bacterial small subunit ribosomal RNA", at positions 28 to 882 of the family's 1533-position model. Lineage: Bacteria; Bacillati; Bacillota; Bacilli; Caryophanales; Staphylococcaceae. The record is from RNAcentral.
GAUGAACGCUGGCGGCGUGCCUAAUACAUGCAAGUCGAGCGAACGGAUGAGAAGCUCGCUUCUCUGAUGUUAGCGGCGGACGGGUGAGUAACACGUGGAUAACCUACCUAUAAGACUGGGAUAACUUCGGGAAACCGGAGCUAAUACCGGAUAAUAUUUUGAACCGCAUGGUUCAAAAGUGAAAGACGGUCUUGCUGUCACUUAUAGAUGGAUCCGCGCUGCAUUAGCUAGUUGGUAAGGUAACGGCUUACCAAGGCAACGAUGCAUAGCCGACCUGAGAGGGUGAUCGGCCACACUGGAACUGAGACACGGUCCAGACUCCUACGGGAGGCAGCAGUAGGGAAUCUUCCGCAAUGGGCGAAAGCCUGACGGAGCAACGCCGCGUGAGUGAUGAAGGUCUUCGGAUCGUAAAACUCUGUUAUUAGGGAAGAACAUAUGUGUAAGUAACUGUGCACAUCUUGACGGUACCUAAUCAGAAAGCCACGGCUAACUACGUGCCAGCAGCCGCGGUAAUACGUAGGUGGCAAGCGUUAUCCGGAAUUAUUGGGCGUAAAGCGCGCGUAGGCGGUUUUUUAAGUCUGAUGUGAAAGCCCACGGCUCAACCGUGGAGGGUCAUUGGAAACUGGAAAACUUGAGUGCAGAAGAGGAAAGUGGAAUUCCAUGUGUAGCGGUGAAAUGCGCAGAGAUAUGGAGGAACACCAGUGGCGAAGGCGACUUUCUGGUCCGUAACUGACGCUGAUGUGCGAAAGCGUGGGGAUCAAACAGGAUUAGAUACCCUGGUAGUCCACGCCGUAAACGAUGAGUGCUAAGUGUUAGGGGGUUUCCGCCCCUUAGUGCUGCAGCUAACGCAUUAAGCACUCCGCCUGGGGAGUA